This 29-nucleotide non-coding RNA is filed under the name Rattus norvegicus (Norway rat). Lineage: Eukaryota; Metazoa; Chordata; Mammalia; Rodentia; Muridae. The record is from RNAcentral.
UGGUAGCCCAGUGACUGAGCAGCGCCAUG